Microcebus murinus (gray mouse lemur) is the source of this 704-nucleotide non-coding RNA. The record is from RefSeq and is a predicted model, not a curated record. NCBI's taxonomy places the organism in Eukaryota, Metazoa, Chordata, Mammalia, Primates, Cheirogaleidae.
CAGAGCGCGGGCUGCUUAGACGGUUGGAGCGCGGUGGGAGUCCGGGCUUUGUCCCUCUGUGCUGGAGUUAGGCCGGGGGCUUUUCCUUCCAUACUGCUCCUCAAGUUCCUUGAGAAGGCACCUGAAGGCAGAUGGGUUUUUUUUCCCCUUAUUCGGGGAAAAAACCAACAACUCCGAGAGAAUCGGUGGGGACAGCAGGAGACGGAUAAGCUAGACUUUCAGGAGCAUUUCCCUGCCGGAGACCAGGCUUGCGGAGGCUCUUCUAUUCCUUUUUCAAGUCCCUUGUGGGCAAGGAUGUGGUCGUGGAACUCAAGAAUGACCUGAGUCUUGCGAACCUAAUCCAGAGUAGGUGUAGGUGACUCGCGUGUGGUUGUCCGUCCUCUUCAGCUCUCACCUAUGAGUUGAAUAUCAGCUCCACUGAGACAGUGCUUGAAGGUUAGCCAGAACAGCAGCUCCUCUUGUCACACGUGGCAUCAGAUCCCUGUUGUGCAGGAGAUGUAAGACUGGACACAGUGGACUGAAUGACAGCAAGGCUGGAGAAGACCUGUAACACAUGACGAGAGGACACAUCCACUUUGCAGCCUCCGCAGUCCCCAGCCUCUCCUACCUGUUCUCUUUUUUUUAAAUGCCAUCUCAGCUUCAGAACUUAAUAAUAUGUUGUGUGUUAUGGAUAUUUUCCAUGUCAAUAAAGCAGUUGAUCUUAA